UCCGUAGGCGGACUGAUAAGUCAGGGGUGAAAUCCAACAGCUUAACUGUUGAACUGCCCUUGAUACUGUUAGUCUUGAAUUAUAUGGAAGUAGAUAGAAUGUGUAGUGUAGCGGUGAAAUGCUUAGAGAUUACACAGAAUACCGAUUGCGAAGGCAGUCUACUACGUAUAUAUUGACGCUAAUGGACGAAAGCGUGAGGAGCGAACAGGAUUAGAUACCCUGGUAGUC
This 228-nucleotide ribosomal RNA is filed under the name uncultured bacterium. RNAcentral describes it as "partial 16S ribosomal RNA". It matches the Rfam family "Bacterial small subunit ribosomal RNA", at positions 568 to 795 of the family's 1533-position model. The record is from RNAcentral.